This 1072-nucleotide long non-coding RNA is filed under the name Sus scrofa (pig). RNAcentral's name for it is "lncRNA (ENSSSCG00015070348.1)". The record is from RNAcentral. Lineage: Eukaryota; Metazoa; Chordata; Mammalia; Artiodactyla; Suidae.
AUCACCCUCAACACAAAAGGCACAAGACAGACACAAACAAGCACCCGUGCACACGAAAUACCCAGGGCAUUACCUGAAUCAGUGCGCAGAGAUCCAUCCCGUCCACCGCGCCCCCUCCCCCGCAGGCACCCCCAACGACGAGUUUAAAAAGGAAAGAAAAAGGUACCUACUCUUCCUCGUAGUGCAGGGAAAAAGAUUCAGGAAGGCAAAGUUCUACCGAAUCCAUGUGCGACCGGCAACCAUUAUUUGUGCACCCCAGCUAUAAAUCAAAGUUUCCUUGACAGAACACAGUGCAAUUAACACAAAUGUUCUCCUAGUGACAAGCCUAUAGGCACAGCCAGUUGGGACCAAAGCUCUCACACUCUCCUAAUCAAGGACUUAAAGCUCCGAUUGGAGCUUAUUAAUAUGAAGUAGAGCUUAACAUAUGCGGUCCCACCGGCCCAGGCGCGCAGCCGAUUGGGGGGCCUCUGCCCAAUCAGGAGGGAGGCGACGGGAGGCUGCGAGGAGCCGCGGAGCCAGGCAGAUUCUCCCUCAAGAUCAUGAAACCUUUUCAAAGAAGCUGUUUAACUUUUGGAACCAUCUUCCCCGCUGCCUGUGAUACAUGGUGUGGGAUAUAACAUAACACACUAUAAAAAAACAAAACAACCCACUAUCUUUCACUCCGUAAGAAAACCCACCAGGAACAUCCCUGGAAAAAGAACCCCGAAGGACAAACAGAAGCCGAGACCCUGGGAUCCCCUCUUUGCCCCUUUCUGAGCUGCGUGCCUUUGAGCAGAUGGCUUAUCGGUCCCUAGUUUCCUCAUCUGUGCUCUGGAAUUUCUUUUACGCUAGAAACCUGCUUAGGCUCAGCCCUGCCCGCUGAGAUCACGAGGACUUCGUUGGAAGUCAGUCUGACUACUUUGUAUCACCACCAAACCUCUAUCAAUUCAUCAAACCUCAUUUUCUGUUGCCUUUCAUUUCUAGGGCACAGGCUUUGAUAUUUAAAUUAUUGUCUCCAUUGGCAAGAAGCAAUCAUUUCUACUGAAAAUGAUCGCUUCCGCAGAAGCACUAAUAAAAACCUCUCCUUUUGACA